Arvicanthis niloticus (Nile rat) is the source of this 916-nucleotide long non-coding RNA. RefSeq lists it as uncharacterized. The record is from RefSeq and is a predicted model, not a curated record. NCBI's taxonomy places the organism in Eukaryota, Metazoa, Chordata, Mammalia, Rodentia, Muridae.
CAUGGGCGCUUCAGGGGACAGCUCACUGCGUCAGUGUGAUGUGGCUGCCCGACCCAGCACACUUCCAGGCAGUGAUCCAAGAGAAACAUCGAGGCCAAGGUCACUGUGAGCUGAGCAUGCAACCUCAGAUUUAAAGGAGACCGGCUAGGACUGCAAGUGUGCACCUGUUGAACAGCAGAAACAUCGGUGCUUUGUGAAUGGGAGGGCUGGCCGAGGUCCCCACACCACUGCCUAGCCCACCAUGCAUGGAAUAAACCAUAAAGGGGCUCAGGAAAGCUCUGCUUCCCGGUUUGCAUGUUCUGGUGUGGGGCCACACCUUCUGAGGAGGGUCCUGACAGAUGUGCAGCCCACAGCCCCACAGGAACCCACUUAGAUUUGUCUUCCUCACCAAGCCCCUUCUAAACGGUGAAGAAGCUCUGGGGACAAAGGAGUUAGGGUGAAGAUCCUUUCCUACCCGGAAGACCAAAUACAGCUUAGUGACAGCUGAGCAAACACAAGCUGCCUGGGGUUGGGGCUGUGAGCUCCUGGUUCCAGCAGUUCCCCUUUGGCAGGAACACAGGCGGAUCCUGGUCUGGCCAACAGGGAAAGCAAAAAGCCUUCGGGGAAAGCCUGGAGCCUCUGCUAACUCCACAGGGUUAGUCCACUUCUAAAUGCUCUCCAGUCCUUACUGCCUCUGAGAAGCCACCGGCUCCAGGCUAGCACGGAGUCAAAACUGACACUAACAACUGUUCUCCGGAGAAGCCACUGCCUCUGCUUAGAAGCUGUGCCCAUUACAGCUGCAACGAACUGUGGGCAUCCCUGGCACACAGUGGGACCUACUUGCUUGCAUCAGGGAACUCGGCUGACCCAGACCUUCAUCUUGAGGCAGCCCCCCCAGACCAAAGGCCAGGAGCAAAUAAAACUGAACGGUAGUAAU